CCAGACAGCCAGGAUGUUGGCUUAGAAGCAGCCAUCAUUUAAAGAAAGCGUAAUAGCUCACUGGUCGAGUCGGCCUGCGCGGAAGAUGUAACGGGGCUAAACCAUGCACCGAAGCUGCGGCAGCGACACUAUGUGUUGUUGGGUAGGGGAGCGUUCUGUAAGCCUGCGAAGGUGUACUGUGAGGUAUGCUGGAGGUAUCAGAAGUGCGAAUGCUGACAUAAGUAACGAUAAAGCGGGUGAAAAGCCCGCUCGCCGGAAGACCAAGGGUUCCUGUCCAACGUUAAUCGGGGCAGGGUGAGUCGACCCCUAAGGCGAGGCCGAAAGGCGUAGUCGAUGGGAAACAGGUUAAUAUUCCUGUACUUGGUGUUACUGCGAAGGGGGGACGGAGAAGGCUAUGUUGGCCGGGCGACGGUUGUCCCGGUUUAAGCGUGUAGGCUGGUUUUCCAGGCAAAUCCGGAAAAUCAAGGCUGAGGCGUGAUGACGAGGCACUACGGUGCUGAAGCAACAAAUGCCCUGCUUCCAGGAAAAGCCUCUAAGCAUCAGGUAACAUCAAAUCGUACCCCAAACCGACACAGGUGGUCAGGUAGAGAAUACCAAGGCGCUUGAGAGAACUCGGGUGAAGGAACUAGGCAAAAUGGUGCCGUAACUUCGGGAGAAGGCACGCUGAUAUGUAGGUGAAGUCCCUCGCGGAUGGAGCUGAAAUCAGUCGAAGAUACCAGCUGGCUGCAACUGUUUAUUAAAAACACAGCACUGUGCAAACACGAAAGUGGACGUAUACGGUGUGACGCCUGCCCGGUGCCGGAAGGUUAAUUGAUGGGGUUAGCGGUAACGCGAAGCUCUUGAUCGAAGCCCCGGUAAACGGCGGCCGUAACUAUAACGGUCCUAAGGUAGCGAAAUUCCUUGUCGGGUAAGUUCCGACCUGCACGAAUGGCGUAAUGAUGGCCAGGCUGUCUCCACCCGAGACUCAGUGAAAUUGAACUCGCUGUGAAGAUGCAGUGUACCCGCGGCAAGACGGAAAGACCCCGUGAACCUUUACUAUAGCUUGACACUGAACAUUGAGCCUUGAUGUGUAGGAUAGGUGGGAGGCUUUGAAGUGUGGACGCCAGUCUGCAUGGAGCCGGCCUUGAAAUACCACCCUUUAAUGUUUGAUGUUCUAACGUUGGCCCCUGAUCGGGGUUGCGGACAGUGUCUGGUGGGUAGUUUGACUGGGGCGGUCUCCUCCUAAAGAGUAACGGAGGAGCACGAAGGUUGGCUAAUCCUGGUCGGACAUCAGGAGGUUAGUGCAAUGGCAUAAGCCAGCUUGACUGCGAGCGUGACGGCGCGAGCAGGUGCGAAAGCAGGUCAUAGUGAUCCGGUGGUUCUGAAUGGAAGGGCCAUCGCUCAACGGAUAAAAGGUACUCCGGGGAUAACAGGCUGAUACCGCCCAAGAGUUCAUAUCGACGGCGGUGUUUGGCACCUCGAUGUCGGCUCAUCACAUCCUGGGGCUGAAGUAGGUCCCAAGGGUAUGGCUGUUCGCCAUUUAAAGUGGUACGCGAGCUGGGUUUAGAACGUCGUGAGACAGUUCGGUCCCUAUCUGCCGUGGGCGCUGGAGAACUGAGGGGGGCUGCUCCUAGUACGAGAGGACCGGAGUGGACGCAUCACUGGUGUUCGGGUUGUCAUGCCAAUGGCACUGCCCGGUAGCUAAAUGCGGAAGAGAUAAGUGCUGAAAGCAUCUAAGCACGAAACUUGCCCCGAGAUGAGUUCUCCCUGACUCCUUGAGAGUCCUGAAGGAACGUUGAAGACGACGACGUUGAUAGGCCGGGUGUGUAAGCGCAGCGAUGCGUUGAGCUAACCGGUACUAAUGAACCGUGAGGCUUAACCUU
Molecule: ribosomal RNA, 1862 nt
Filed under: Escherichia coli
Lineage: Bacteria; Pseudomonadati; Pseudomonadota; Gammaproteobacteria; Enterobacterales; Enterobacteriaceae
Description: partial 23S ribosomal RNA
Rfam family: Bacterial large subunit ribosomal RNA
Source: RNAcentral